GACGAACGCUGGCGGCGUGCUUAACACAUGCAAGUCGAACGGAAAGGCCCUGCUUUUGUGGGGUGCUCGAGUGGCGAACGGGUGAGUAACACGUGAGUAACCUGCCCUUGACUUUGGGAUAACUUCAGGAAACUGGGGCUAAUACCGGAUAGGAUCUCCUGCUGCAUGGGGGGGGUUGGAAAGAUUCGGCGGUUGGGGAUGGACUCGCGGCUUAUCAGCUUGUUGGUGGGGUAGUGGCUUACCAAGGCUUUGACGGGUAGCCGGCCUGAGAGGGGGGACGGCCACAAUAGGACUGAGAUACGGACCAGACUCCUACGGGAGGCAGCAGUGGAGAAUAUUGCACAAUGGGCGGAAGCCUGAUGCAGCAACGCCGCGUGCGGGAUGACGGCCUUCGGGGUGUAAACCGCUUUCGCCUGUGACGAAGCGUGAGUGACGGUAAUGGGUAAAGAAGCACCGGCUAACUACGUG
Molecule: ribosomal RNA, 468 nt
Filed under: uncultured bacterium
Lineage: Bacteria
Description: partial 16S ribosomal RNA
Rfam family: Bacterial small subunit ribosomal RNA
Source: RNAcentral